Molecule: non-coding RNA, 436 nt
Organism: Pogona vitticeps (central bearded dragon)
Lineage: Eukaryota; Metazoa; Chordata; Lepidosauria; Squamata; Agamidae
Source: RefSeq, a predicted model, not a curated record
UCCACAACUAGAAGCAAUUUGAUAAAUGUUUCAACUAUCAGGAUUCCAUCUUAUGGCAUCCAGGAUGUGUAGCUUGAAGAGGUACUUCAAAUAUUGAGUUAUAGCAUUACAGAUCUCCAGUAAAGAAUUCUAAGUACAUCACAGUUGUGACUGUGACAUCAGACUGCUGUACAUGUGUAGUACAGGUCAGUCCUUCAGAUUCCAAACUUGAUUUUGGGUGAUCCUCUCCAUCCCAUUUGUUCAGGAGGCAUCUCUGAUCCAGAGCCUUUUGUUGUACAGUUGGCAGCAUGAGCAAAGAGAUACAUGGUCGAUCUUUCUCUGAAGCAGUCAGCACGAACAGCAUAAGAGAAGGAGCAAAACACUCAUCAUCUGAUCCUUAAAGGUGUCAUGAGUGCAUCCGAAGACCUGGAACCAGAAGGGUUAACUGAGGCUGAAG